GGCGAAGGGGGCAGUAAGGCGUGGACAACCUGCCCCGGGCUCCAGGAUAGCCCUCCUAACGGAGGGGUAAUACUGGGUACGCUCGCUUGGGGACAUCUCCGAGCGAGGAUAGUUCCGACGGCCCGGGAGGGGUUCACGUGAUAUUAGCUAGUUGGUGGGGUAACGGCCCACCAAGGCCAAGAUGUCUAGCGGGUGUGAGAGCACGACCCGCGCCACUGGCACUGGGACACUGGCCAGACUCCUACGGGAGGCUGCAGUCGAGGAUCUUCGGCAAUGGGCGCAAGCCUGACCGAGCGACGCCGCGUGAGCGAUGAAGGCCUUCGGGUCGUAAAGCUCUGUCGUGGGGGAGAAAAGGGUUAAACCUUGAUCGACCCCAGGAGGAAGCACGGGCUAAGUUCGUGCCAGCAGCCGCGGUAAGACGAACCGUGCGAACGUUAUUCGGAAUCACUGGGCUUAAAGGGCGCGUAGGCGGGCCCGUCAGUCAGGGGUGAAAUCCCACGGCCCAACCGUGGAAGUGCCUCUGAUACUGCGGGCCUCGAGGGGGAUAGGGGCGUGCGGAACUCAGGGUGGAGCGGUGAAAUGCGUAGAUAUCCUGAGGAACACCGGUGGCGAAAGCGGCGCGCUGGAUCCCUUCUGACGCUGAGCGCGAAAGCCAGGGGAGCAAACGGGAUUAGAUACCCCGGUAGUCUGGCCCUAACGUGGGUACUAGUAGCGCCUGUCAUGGGGUCGCUGCCGGAGCAAAGUGUUAAGUACCCCGCCUGGGGAGU
RNAcentral lists this ribosomal RNA (767 nucleotides) under uncultured bacterium. RNAcentral's name for it is "bacterial SSU rRNA". It matches the Rfam family "Bacterial small subunit ribosomal RNA", at positions 97 to 881 of the family's 1533-position model. The record is from RNAcentral.